CCUACGGGGAGCUGCAGUCGAGAAUCAUUCACAAUGGGGGAAACCCUGAUGGUGCGACGCCGCGUGGGGGAAGACGGUCUUCGGAUUGUAAACCUCUGUCUUUGGGGAAGAAAAUGACGGUACCCAAAGAGGAAGCUCCGGCUAACUACGUGCCAGCAGCCGUGGGAAUACGUAGGGAGCGAGCGUUGUCCGGAAUUACUGGGGGUAAAGGGAGCGUAGGCGGGCGAGAAAGUUGAAUGUUAAAUCUACCGGCUUAACUGGUAGCUGCGUUCAAAACUUCUUGUCUUGAGUGAAGUAGAGGCAGGCGGAAUUCCUGGUGUAGCGGUGAAAUGCGUAGAUAUUGGGAGGAACACCAGUGGCGAAGGCAGCCUGCUGGGCUUUAACUGACGCUGAGGCUCGAAAGCGUGGGGAGCGAACAGGAUUAGAUACCCUAGUAGUC
RNAcentral lists this ribosomal RNA (439 nucleotides) under uncultured bacterium. RNAcentral's name for it is "partial 16S ribosomal RNA". It matches the Rfam family "Bacterial small subunit ribosomal RNA", at positions 338 to 795 of the family's 1533-position model. The record is from RNAcentral.